This 433-nucleotide unclassified non-coding RNA is filed under the name soil metagenome. RNAcentral's name for it is "partial contains 5.8S ribosomal RNA, internal transcribed spacer 2, and large subunit ribosomal RNA". The stretch from base 1 to 120 matches the Rfam family "5.8S ribosomal RNA", at positions 35 to 154 of the family's 154-position model. The record is from RNAcentral.
GAUGAAGAACGUAGCGAAAUGCGAUACGUAAUGUGAAUUGCAGAAUUCAGUGAAUCAUCGAAUCUUUGAACGCAUAUCGCGCUCUCUGGUAUUCCGGAGAGCAUGCUUGUUUGAGUAUCAGUAAACACCUCAACUUCCAUAUCUUUUUUGAAAUGGGAGUUGGACUUGAGUGAUCCCAACGCUUUUCCUCACCGAAAAGUGGCGGGUUACUUGAAAUGCAGGUGCAGCUGGACUUUUCUCUGAGCUAUAAGCAUAUCUAUUUAGUCUGCCUAAAAAACAGAUUAUUACCUUUGCUGCAGCUAACAUAAAGGAGAUUAGUUCUUGUGCUGACUGAUGCAGGAUUCACAAAGACAGGCUUCGGCCGACUUUGUAAACUCGAUCUCAAAUCAAGUAAGACUACCCGCUGAACUUAAGCAUAUCAAUAAGCGGAGGA